CCCCACCUCUCUCUCUCCAUGCCCUCUGUUUCUUUUUGAUCUGAUGUGUAUUGAGGUUCAGUUUUCACCAUGUUGAUCUGAUGCUGAGACGUGCUAGCUACAACAGAAGCAGCUAGACACUUUGGUUUUGCAGUUCCAAAACUACACAAAAGUUGGAGAGAACGUGUACCAUUACCAUCAGUGGUCGGGGAAUAGAACAUGAAUCAGACAAUUCGUUCUUUGUACAAUCAGAGUUUAGAGGACAGUAUACUGCAUCACAAUUUUGGUUCUUUUGUUGUUGCUUGUAUAAAUGAUCACCUACAUUGUAGGGGCUUCUCCCUAUACUGGGCUUUAGAAUGUGUCGCAACUAAAAGUCAAGGAAUUUUUUCAGUCGAAUAAAAUUUAGUAACUAGCCUUUUCAUAUUGAUCUUUAUCUGCAGCGUGAUGGGUGUGGACAAAAACAUGUGGUGUUACCUUACAGUAUGUACUUUAUCUUCCUUUAUGCCGCAUACAUAAUGGAAUUAGAAAGUAUAUUUUUAGUAUAUUAAAACUAGCCUGUCCCUUCCUUUUAGUGUACUGAAUUAGUUCUUAUAAUCUAAUCAAGUGUACACUUAUCUGUUGUCUGUACUAUAGCGGUGAUUAUCAGAAGUCCAAGACCACACUGUAGGCAGGAAAAAGGAAUGUUCUUGUAGGUUGCUCGCGGGUGACUUCUCAGGUGUCACGGCGCUUGCAUUGUAGAUUAGUAGAGGGAAUAUUGAGACGACGAGGAGAUGCGACUUAACUGCAGUCCGCACAACACCAUGAACCAGGGUAAAGAGGUUAAUCUCUUCCAAUACACAAUUGUUGAGGUGUUCAAAAAUCUUAGUGAGAGAGGACAUUGACGGUGCGAGAAUGGAACAUAACAAGUUUUUUUUGUGUGUGUGUGUGUGCAUUACCGAAACGUUGCACGACAUGUUCUUGAAGUCCGCCCUCUCAUUGAUUGGAACGAGGUGAAAGUUGUGGAAUUUUUGCUGUGACCACCUGGACUAAGAUGACAGGGCUGACAAAGAUGAAGCCAAGUUGAAGAUUCAGAGUUGCUAGGCAGGCACAGUUAACAGGGAUAAGAAACUAUAGAAGAUUUAUCAAAUCAGACAUGGGCUUGGUUAUGCAAUGAUUCAUUGGGAUCUGAGGCUCUGCGCUAGGUGGGGUUGUCAUCCUCCAUUAUUUAUGGCCAUGACAAAUGACAAUAUCAGGAUGCUAUUCAACUUUGACUUUUGUCGACAUGUGUUUUGAUGCUACUUCAAUUCUUUAGCGCAUCGCGAUGAGGCUGAUACUGUUGGUUGUACACUGAAGGUUGAAAAUGUUAACUGUUUUGAAUAGAGUAUUUCAAUAUAUUGGCACAGAUUAGCAACAAUACUUACUAUGGUAAUUACAAUGCCAUAAAAUUUCUGAAUUAUUAGAAUAUUUUGCACUAUUACACAUUAUUUAAUAAUUGGUGCAAUCUAAUGUUAAUCCACCUAAAUUUGAUAAUAGCUAAAAUUUCUAACAUGCCUCACGUCUUCAUGUUUCUAGCUUCAAAUCCUUAAAAACAAAUUGUUCUACAACUCUCUAUCUUGCUAGAAUGGACUUGUUACCCAUAUAUGUGUAUCUACCUGAGAGCAAACUUUACAUACUUAAAAAAUGUACCUUUUGUGGUCAGAAUCUAACUGCAUUUUUUGUUUAUAA
This is a non-coding RNA of Aegilops tauschii subsp. strangulata, 1683 nucleotides long. The record is from RefSeq and is a predicted model, not a curated record. NCBI's taxonomy places the organism in Eukaryota, Viridiplantae, Streptophyta, Magnoliopsida, Poales, Poaceae.